GACGAACGCUGGCGGCGUGCUUAACACAUGCAAGUCGAACGGAAAGGCCCUGCUUUUGUGGGGUGCUCGAGUGGCGAACGGGUGAGUAACACGUGAGUAACAUGCCCUUGACUUUGGGAUAACUUCAGGAAACUGGGGCUAAUACCGGAUAGGAGCUCCUGCUGCAUGGUGGGGGUUGGAAAGUUUCGGCGGUUGGGAUUGUACUCGCGGCUUAUCAGCUUGUUGGUGGGGUAGUGGCUUACCAAGGCUUUGACGGGUAGCCGGCCUGGAAGGGUGACCGGCCACAGUGUGCCUCGGGAGCGACCCGUACUCCACCGUGAGGCAGCGGGGGGGACUUUACCGAACUGGGCGGAGGCCUGGUGCAGCAUCUCCGGGUCGGGAAUCACGGCUUUCGGGUUGGAAACCGUUUUCGCCUGUGACUAAGCGUCGGUACCGUAAAUGGGUAAAAAGCCACCGCUAACUACGUG
This 467-nucleotide ribosomal RNA is filed under the name uncultured bacterium. RNAcentral's name for it is "partial 16S ribosomal RNA". It matches the Rfam family "Bacterial small subunit ribosomal RNA", at positions 28 to 507 of the family's 1533-position model. The record is from RNAcentral.